UGGGGAAUAUUGCACAAUGGGCGAAAGCCUGAUGCAGCAACGCCGCGUGAGUGAUGAAGGCCUUCGGGUUGUAAAGCUCUGUCUUUUGGGACGAUAAUGACGGUACCAAAGGAGGAAGCCACGGCUAACUACGUGCCAGCAGCCGCGGUAAUACGUAGGUGGCAAGCGUUGUCCGGAUUUACUGGGCGUAAAGGAUGCGUAGGCGGAUUUUUAAGUGAGAUGUGAAAACCCUAAGCUUAACUUGGGGACUGCAUUUCAUACUGGAAAAUCUAGAGUGCGGGAGAGGAGAAUGGAAUUCCUAGUGUAGCGGUGAAAUGCGUAGAGAUUAGGAAGAACACCAGUGGCGAAGGCGAUUCUCUGGACCGUAACUGACGCUGAGGCAUGAAAGCGUGGGUAGCAAACAGGAUUAGAUACCCUGGUAGUCCACGCCGUAAACGAUGAGUACUAGGUGUAGGAGGUAUCGACCCCUUCUGUGCCGCAGUUAACACAAUAAGUACUCCGCCUGGGAAGUACGAUCGCAAGAUUAAAACUCAAAUGAAUUGACGGGGUCAUAGCUGUUUUCCU
This 564-nucleotide ribosomal RNA is filed under the name uncultured bacterium. RNAcentral describes it as "partial 16S ribosomal RNA". It matches the Rfam family "Bacterial small subunit ribosomal RNA", at positions 355 to 1375 of the family's 1533-position model. The record is from RNAcentral.